This 211-nucleotide unclassified non-coding RNA is filed under the name fungal sp. RNAcentral describes it as "partial internal transcribed spacer region". The stretch from base 1 to 46 matches the Rfam family "Eukaryotic small subunit ribosomal RNA", at positions 1786 to 1831 of the family's 1831-position model. Lineage: Eukaryota; Fungi. The record is from RNAcentral.
AAGUCGUAACAAGGUUUCCGUAGGUGAACCUGCGGAAGGAUCAUUAACAAAUGCAACGUUUGUUGAAACCCACGCUGCGUAUCGAUACCUGUUGCUUCCCUGGAGCAAUCCAGGGGAGGUAGUCACAAACCCUGCUCUCCCUGAAGUCGGUCUGAACAUGUUUGUUUGUUUGGAAACGUUAAAACUUUCAACAACGGAUCUCUUGGUUCUC